UACGUAGGGUGCAAGCGUUGUCCGGAAUUAUUGGGCGUAAAGAGCGUGUAGGCGGCCCGAUUAGUCCGCUGUGAAAGUCCAGGGCUCAACCCUGGAAUGCCGGUGGAUACUGUCGGGCUAGAGUCCGGAAGGGGCGAGUGGAAUUCCUGGUGUAGCGGUGGAAUGCGCAGAUAUCAGGAGGAACACCAAUGGCGAAGGCAGAUCUCUGGGCCGUAACUGACGCUGAGGAGCGAAAGCAUGGGGAGCGAACAGG
Molecule: ribosomal RNA, 253 nt
Filed under: uncultured bacterium
Lineage: Bacteria
Description: partial 16S ribosomal RNA
Rfam family: Bacterial small subunit ribosomal RNA
Source: RNAcentral